RNAcentral lists this ribosomal RNA (569 nucleotides) under uncultured bacterium. RNAcentral describes it as "bacterial SSU rRNA". It matches the Rfam family "Bacterial small subunit ribosomal RNA", at positions 338 to 918 of the family's 1533-position model. The record is from RNAcentral.
CCUACGGGAGGCAGCAGUGGGGAAUAUUGCACAAUGGGCGCAAGCCUGAUGCAGCGACGCCGCGUGAGGGAUGACGGCCUUCGGGUUGUAAACCUCUUUCAGUAGGGAAGAAGCGAAAGUGACGGUACCUGCAGAAGAAGCGCCGGUUAACUACGUGCCAGCAGCCGCGGUAAUACGUAGGGCGCGAGCGUUAUCCGGAAUUAUUGGGCGUAAAGAGCUCGUAGGCGGUUUGUCGCGUCUGCCGUGAAAGUCCGGGGCUUAACCCCGGAUCUGCGGUGGGUACGGGCAGACUAGAGUGCAGUAGGGGAGACUGGAAUUCCUGGUGUAGUGGUGAAAUGCGCAAUAUCAGGAGGAACACCGAUGGCGAAGGCAGGUCUCUGGGCUGUAACUGACGCUGAGGAGCGAAAGCAUGGGGAGCGCACAGGAUUAGAUUCCCUGGUAGUCCAUGCCGUAAACGUUGGGCACUAGGUGUGGGGGACAUUCCACGUUUUCCGCGCCGUAGCUAACGCAUUAAGUGCCCCGCCUGGGGAGUACGGCCGCAAGGCUUAAACUCAAAGGAAUUGACGGGG